CCAAAAACAGCAGCAAAUAUACAAAACCCUCAAAUGGAAACAGAACAGAGAGAGGGGGGCUGAGUUACGGAUGAGGAGAGGAGGAGGAAAGCUCGCUGCGCCGCACGCUGGGCUCCACCAUUGCCGCCGCAUCACCGCCAGAACCGCGCGAGGGACAGAGGGCAGCUCACCGCGUCGCGCCGCCUCCGCAGUCCAUGCCGGCCUGGAACCACCGCUGACGCGUCCUGCUGAGUAGCCGUAGAAGCCUUCCUCGCCGAUGCCAUGAACUGCGAACAAAGGAGAGAGAGAGAGGUCGAAACGGAGAGCUAAGCGAGGAAGGGGGUGGUCGUGAGUCGCCGUUGUCGGGGCUUCCGUCAUGUCCUGCCGCUCGCCGACGCCGACCGAUGGAGGAAGUGCAACGCCGCCGCGGAUCCAUUACCGUUGAACUCGAAGGAGGAGGAAGGCCGCCCAGUCACACCGAGCAGGAGAGACAGAGUUGAGGCGAGCUGGGAGUCUGACCACC
Non-coding RNA from Arachis ipaensis, 502 nucleotides. Lineage: Eukaryota; Viridiplantae; Streptophyta; Magnoliopsida; Fabales; Fabaceae. The record is from RefSeq and is a predicted model, not a curated record.